GACGAACGCUGGCGGCGUGCUUAACACAUGCAAGUCGAACGGAAAGGCUCCAGCUUGCUGGAGUACUCGAGUGGCGAACGGGUGAGUAACACGUGGGUAAUCUGCCCUGCACUCUGGGAUAAGCCUAGGAAACUGGGUCUAAUACUGGAUAUGACCUUUCUCCUUAUGGGGGUUGGUGGAAAGUUUUUCGGUGUAGGAUGAGCCCGCGGCCUAUCAGCUUGUUGGUGGGGUAAUGGCCUACCAAGGCGACGACGGGUAGCCGGCCUGAGAGGGUGAUCGGCCACAUUGGGACUGAGAUACGGCCCAGACUCCUACGGGAGGCAGCAGUGGGGAAUAUUGCACAAUGGGCGGAAGCCUGAUGCAGCGACGCCGCGUGAGGGAUGACGGCCUUCGGGUUGUAAACCUCUUUCAGCAGGGACGAAGCGUAAGUGACGGUACCUGCAGAAGAAGCACCGGCUAACUAUGUG
Molecule: ribosomal RNA, 467 nt
Filed under: uncultured bacterium
Lineage: Bacteria
Description: partial 16S ribosomal RNA
Rfam family: Bacterial small subunit ribosomal RNA
Source: RNAcentral